UUUGACUCACAUGUGGGGGAGAGGUCAUGCAGACGUGAAUAGGGGUUGUGUAUCUAGCCUGAGUAACUUAUUUCAGAUUUUCAACACUAGCAAGUUAAUGGCCUGAAAUGUCCCCCACCGGGGCUCGGAGAUAUUGGCCAUUGGAGUUCUGACAUUAUUUCUAGUCAUUGAGUUCCCUUCCUCUAUCACCUCCAAUUCUGUUCUUAAAGACGUUUUCGGGCUGAAUCCUGAGCUCUUUAAGUCCAUUUGGGUGAUUCCUCAACCCAAGUUGUUACAGGAAGACAGAAUGAGGAAUAUGGCGUUGGGCAUACUUUCAUUGAACUAGAAAAGGUUAAUUUGCCCUACUUUUCUGGUACCUCUCUUUCUUCAAUCUCUGAAUUCUUUCUCUUGCUUUUAUUAACUGCCUUGGUGAUCAAGUUAGCCAGAUCUAAUACUUGAUAGAUACCCACUGACAAAUGUAAUUCUGUAAGUCAAAAAGUGAUUUUCUUAUUUUCAUUUUUUUGCCUUCCUGCCAUAGCAAUUCUUAGCCUCCCUAUAGCUAAGGAUGGAGACAUACUGUUAGGGUUACCUAUAGUGAAAUGCUAAAUUAAAAAAAAAAAUCUGUCAUGUCAUUUGUUUAGCAAUUAUAAUUGUUUUGGAAAUCUACAGGUCAUGGUUUUCCAGAAUGAAGUAAUGCUUUCGAUCAAACCAAGAAAAUGAAAGCCGUAACGAAAACAGCACUGCCUGGGCACUUCCAGUGAUAUUCCUUUUAUUCAUUGGAGGCUGUCACUCGAUCCGAACCCCAUGUCUAGUUCUUAGGCAAUUAAGAUUUCGGGAGGUGGGGUGCCUUAUAUGUCACUCUAUUUUGUGGUGGAGCCCUUUGAAUUAUUUGUUUUUCCAAAGAGGGCCUUUUACGAGUUUUGACGUGUAGAAAGGGAAUUUUUAUAAAAGAGGAUUACUAUGAGUUCAAGAAAAAAAUUUUAAGCAUAUAAGAGGUGUUCAAGAAAUGUUCUUAUGAAUCGUCUUAUCCCUGUUUUAAGGAUGAAUGUCGACAGCUGAGGUCAAACACAGAUUAUGUAACAUUAAGAUAACUAGGUAACUUAGAAAACUAUAAUUUUACAAGACUUCCUUGGAAGUCUCGUUUUACAAGAAGUCUCAACCUGUGACACCAAGCAUCCUUUUAGGAUCCAGCACAAGCAGCAAGUGUUCUCGGGCUUACGGGCGUCUAAGAUGCAGGUCAGAUAAACUUCCACCCCGGUUCCCCUUCCCUAGAGGAUUUGCAGUC
Molecule: long non-coding RNA, 1264 nt
Filed under: Bos mutus (wild yak)
Lineage: Eukaryota; Metazoa; Chordata; Mammalia; Artiodactyla; Bovidae
Description: lncRNA (ENSBMUG00000002028.1)
Source: RNAcentral